AAUCACACAGCUUUCACAUGGCCUUUUCUAGCACCGUGGCAAGGUAAAAAGGCCGAGCAUCACAUCAGUCAAGGGUCCGAGAGCAUACGAGACAACGGCAGGAUGACAUGGGGACGAGCAGGAGGCUGGCAGAGACCAAGAGCUCUUCCUGUGCAUGAUGCUACCAUACAAGAACCAGAGAGAACUGGAUGAGAGCCUCAGACUGGAUCUGUACAUCCCAGAUAAUUCACUAUGUCCACAUGGUGAACAUUUCCGUCUGAACCAUUUGGAAAGCACCCACAGCAACAAGAGCAGAUGCAACAUGUACACGAGCUCCCCUUCCUGUCUAACGCUGAUCUGAAGAGGCCCGGGUCUGUCGGCAGCAACACGCGUUGGCUGUAUACGUGCCUGAGAGCAGAAUUUAGGGUAAGGCAAGAAGACAAAUAAAGGAAGCCAAUUACUAGAGACUGUUUCUUUUCU
Alligator mississippiensis (American alligator) is the source of this 459-nucleotide long non-coding RNA. RefSeq lists it as uncharacterized. Lineage: Eukaryota; Metazoa; Chordata; Crocodylia; Alligatoridae. The transcript has 3 exons. The record is from RefSeq and is a predicted model, not a curated record.